RNAcentral lists this ribosomal RNA (253 nucleotides) under uncultured bacterium. RNAcentral describes it as "partial 16S ribosomal RNA". It matches the Rfam family "Bacterial small subunit ribosomal RNA", at positions 524 to 776 of the family's 1533-position model. The record is from RNAcentral.
UACGUAGGGGGCAAGCGUUAUCCGGAUUUACUGGGUGUAAAGGGAGCGUAGACGGCCAGACAAGUCUGAAGUGAAAAUCCAGCGCUUAACGUUGGAAGUGCUUUGGAAACUGCCGGGCUAGAGUGCAGGAGGGGCAGGCGGAAUUCCUAGUGUAGCGGUGAAAUGCGUAGAUAUUAGGAGGGACACCAGUGGCGAAGGCGGCCUGCUGGACUGCAACUGACGUUGAGGCUCGAAGGCGUGGGGAGCAGACAGG